This 322-nucleotide ribosomal RNA is filed under the name uncultured Rhogostoma. RNAcentral describes it as "SSU rRNA". The stretch from base 62 to 322 matches the Rfam family "Eukaryotic small subunit ribosomal RNA", at positions 694 to 955 of the family's 1831-position model. Lineage: Eukaryota; Cercozoa; Thecofilosea; Cryomonadida. The record is from RNAcentral.
GAUUUCUGGCUUGAAACAUUUUGCCGGCCACGGUUUCGUGUGUUAGUGCUUGAUGUUCUGGCCAUCCUUCCAAUCGCUAUUGGCUUUUCUUCAUUGAGGGGUCAGUGGUAUUGGAUCUUUUACUUUGAAAAAAUUAGAGUGUUUCAAGCAGGCUUUAUGCUAUGAAUACAUUAGCAUGGAAUAAUGAUUUAGGACUUCGGUUCUAUUUUGUUGGUUUCUAGGACUGAAGUAAUGAUUGAUAGGGAUAGUUGGGGGUGCUAGUAUUCAGCGGCCAGAGGUGAAAUUCUUGGAUUCGUUGAAGACUAACUUAUGCGAAAGCAUU